GACGAACGCUGGCGGCGUGCUUAACACAUGCAAGUCGAACGGUAAGGCCCUUCGGGGUACACGAGUGGCGAACGGGUGAGUAACACGUGGGUGAUCUGCCCUGCACUUCGGGAUAAGCCUGGGAAACUGGGUCUAAUACCGGAUAGGACUCCGGACUGCAUGGUCUGGGGUGGAAAGCUUUUGCGGUGUGGGAUGGGCCCGCGGCCUAUCAGCUUGUUGGUGGGGUGAUGGCCUACCAAGGCGACGACGGGUAGCCGGCCUGAGAGGGUGACCGGCCACACUGGGACUGAGAUACGGCCCAGACUCCUACGGGAGGCAGCAGUGGGGAAUAUUGCACAAUGGGCGCAAGCCUGAUGCAGCGACGCCGCGUGAGGGAUGAAGGUCUUCGGAUCGUAAACCUCUUUCAGUAGGGACGAAGCGAAAGUGACGGUACCUAAAGAAGAAGCACCGGCUAACUACGUGCCAGCCGCCGCCGUAA
Molecule: ribosomal RNA, 478 nt
Filed under: uncultured bacterium
Lineage: Bacteria
Description: partial 16S ribosomal RNA
Rfam family: Bacterial small subunit ribosomal RNA
Source: RNAcentral